ACGCUCGACACCUACGGGAGACAGCAGUGGGGAAUAUUGCACAAUGGGGGAAACCCUGAUGCAGCGACGCCGCGUGAGCGAAGAAGUAUUUCGGUAUGUAAAGCUCUAUCAGCAGGGAAGAAAAUGACGGUACCUGACUAAGAAGCCCCGGCUAACUACGUGCCAACAGCCGCGGUAAUCUGAGCGGGCUGGCAAGGC
This 198-nucleotide ribosomal RNA is filed under the name uncultured bacterium. RNAcentral's name for it is "partial 16S ribosomal RNA". It matches the Rfam family "Bacterial small subunit ribosomal RNA", at positions 328 to 539 of the family's 1533-position model. The record is from RNAcentral.